Molecule: ribosomal RNA, 492 nt
Filed under: uncultured bacterium
Lineage: Bacteria
Description: partial 16S ribosomal RNA
Rfam family: Bacterial small subunit ribosomal RNA
Source: RNAcentral
AGUGAACGCUGGCGGUAGGCCUAACACAUGCCAGUCGAACGGCAGCACAGUAAGAGCUUGCUCUUACGGGUGGCGAGUGGCGGGCGUGAGAGGAAUAUAUCGGAAUCUACUUUUUCGUGGGAGAUAACGUAGGGAAACUUACUCUAAUACCGCAUACCACCUAGGGGUGAAAGGAGGGGAUCUUCGCACCUUGCGCGAUUGAAUGAGCCGAUGUCGGAUUAGCUAGUUGGGGGGGUAAAGGCCCACCAAGGCGACGAUCCGUAGCUGGUCUGAGAGGAUGGUCAGCCACACUGGAACUGGGACACGGUCCAGACUCCUACGGGAGGCAGCAGUGGGGAAUAUUGGACAAUGGGCGCAAGCCUGAUCCAGCCAUACCGCGUGGGUGAAGAAGGCCUUCGGGUUGUAAAGCCCUUUUGUUGGGAAAGAAAAGCAGCAGGUUAAUACCCCGCUGUUCUGACGGUACCCAAAGAAUAAGCACCGGCUAACUUCGUG